RNAcentral lists this unclassified non-coding RNA (356 nucleotides) under soil metagenome. RNAcentral's name for it is "partial contains 5.8S ribosomal RNA, internal transcribed spacer 2, and large subunit ribosomal RNA". The stretch from base 1 to 120 matches the Rfam family "5.8S ribosomal RNA", at positions 35 to 154 of the family's 154-position model. The record is from RNAcentral.
GAUGAAGAACGUAGCGAAAUGCGAUAAGUAAUGCGAAUUGCAGAAUUCAGUGAAUCAUCGAAUCUUUGAACGCACAUUGCGCCCGCCAGUACUCUGGCGGGCAUGCCUGUCUGAGCGUCAUCUCAACCCUCGCCCCCGGCUUCUGUCGGGGACGGUGUUGGGGAUCGGCCUCCCGUCUUCCGGGUGGCCGGCCCCUAAAUUGAGUGGCGACCACGCCGUAACCUCCUCUGCGUAGUAGUUAAACACUCGCGGGCGGAGAGCGGUGCGGCCUGCCGUAAAACCCCCAACUCUUCUAAGGUUGACCUCAGAUCAGGUAGGAAUACCCGCUGAACUUAAGCAUAUCAAUAAGCGGAGGA